Molecule: ribosomal RNA, 471 nt
Filed under: Halomonas sp. M17-C18
Lineage: Bacteria; Pseudomonadati; Pseudomonadota; Gammaproteobacteria; Oceanospirillales; Halomonadaceae
Description: bacterial SSU rRNA
Rfam family: Bacterial small subunit ribosomal RNA
Source: RNAcentral
UWGAGUUUGAUCAUGGCUCAGAUUGAACGCUGGCGGCAGGCCUAACACAUGCAAGUCGAGCGGAAACGAUGGAAGCUUGCUUCCAGGCGUCGAGCGGCGGACGGGUGAGUAAUGCAUGGGAAUCUGCCCGAUAGUGGGGGAUAACCUGGGGAAACCCAGGCUAAUACCGCAUACGUCCUACGGGAGAAAGCAGGGGAUCUUCGGACCUUGCGCUAUCGGAUGAGCCCAUGUCGGAUUAGCUUGUUGGUGAGGUAAUGGCUCACCAAGGCGACGAUCCGUAGCUGGUCUGAGAGGAUGAUCAGCCACAUCGGGACUGAGACACGGCCCGAACUCCUACGGGAGGCAGCAGUGGGGAAUAUUGGACAAUGGGCGAAAGCCUGAUCCAGCCAUGCCGCGUGUGUGAAGAAGGCCCUCGGGUUGUAAAGCACUUUCAGUGGGGAAGAAAGCCUUGGGAUUAAUACUCCCGAUGGA